Molecule: long non-coding RNA, 1831 nt
Organism: Drosophila miranda
Lineage: Eukaryota; Metazoa; Arthropoda; Insecta; Diptera; Drosophilidae
Exons: 4
Source: RefSeq, a predicted model, not a curated record
ACGCAAUAUAGAAAAACAAAAUUAAAGUGAAAUUAAAUGCAACUACGUCGGAUUGCAGGUGCGGUAGCCAGUUGAGCAAUAGUCGAAGCGAACACAAGAAACGGCGCAGAGCUAAAGAAGUCUAGCUUCUUCAAAGAAGUCACAGCACAGUCAUACGCUGCGGGCAAGAAUUUUCGCGCGGGCGGUGUACCCUGGAAUGGUACCUGGCGUUACUUUUGCCUACAGCUCGCCAAUUUAAAAGGGGCCUCGAAAAACUUUAGAUCUACCCACUGUGCGAGCGAGGGGAGAAGAGAGUGGUGUGGAGGCCAUCCCAACCUGUGCACUGUGUACUAUGCACCUGUAAUUGUGUGAGUGAGAGAGUGUGUGUUCAUGUGCGAAAAGAUAAUUAUAUUUGAGGGAACAUUCAUUUGUUUGCGAAACAAACGAACCUACAAAUCGGACAGGACAUUCGAAUCAUAAUCUUAAUUAACUAAUUUUGGGCAAACAUUUGAGUGUGCGUCGCGGCGCACAUAUAAAGAAUGUCAGCACACAACAGUGAAACGCAUGUGUGUUGUGUGAAUGUGUCUGUGCGCAGUAAUAACAAAGCAGUGAAUGACGAAAGUCAAGAAUGAAAGGGAAAUAUGCCUCCCCCCCAGGCACAGGCAAAGGCAAACUCACACACAGUCCACCCCCCGCAUGACGUAUAUAUGUAUUGUUGGAUGUGGGUCUGUCUGCGCGGCGCUAAUUGAAUAGCUCACACAAUUUUGGCGCACUCCCCCCCCGCGCUAGUCCGCUUAGAGCCUUACAACUUCCACCUGCCUUAUAGAUUGCGUGCGCAUGACUCCGAGGACAACAAAACCAGCCAAAAAUAUCCAUAAUAAUGGAGACCCAACUCUGCCGUCCGUAUAGUCCCCCUCUGGCGUCGAACGGAGCCAAGUGAGUGGUGCAUGAAUCACUCCCUCGCCCGCAUCAACAUCCACAUCCAUCACCAGCUUCGAAGCCUUCACGAUGUCAAGUGAUAAGAUCAAAGUUGCUGUAAGGGUGCGACCCUUCAAUCGCCGCGCCCUGAUACCUAUCGGCUCUCUCCAAAACCGCCCAUAACACCACACUACCGUUUCUAGGAUUACUCCGCCGAAACGGGAGUGCCAAGCAGGCGGGCUUUUUCAAUUAAGGGGCCCCAAAUGUAGGCCAUCGCCCACACCCUGAGAUUGAGAGUCUCUGGCUCCAUCGACUGAGAUGCCUGGGCUACUGCUUCAGAUCCUUUGAGUGAAACACCCCAAUACGUGAGCCUUGCAACGUCUCAAGCUCGUACAGACUGUUGCCCAUACUCCGGAUCACUCGGCACUUGACGUAUUUUGGGCUGAACUUUGCGUUGAUGUUGUUUUUAAAUUUGCUCAACACGAAAUUCCGCUUAUAUAUUUCCUGACCCGGCUUCAUGAGAGUUUCCUCGGACCUCAUCUCGGACUAUUUCCAUCUUGUCACUCCUCGCCAAGGGGGACAUUUGUGUAUCAUUUAGGGCGCCCAGUCUGCGUGCCAAUUUAUAAUCUCGGCCGCUAGUAAACAUGUGCUGCCCAAACAACACAAAGUAUGGCGACGUCCCGAUACCCGUGUGUAUAGCGCUCCUAGCCACACACUGGAUCUCCGUCAGCUUCUCGUCCCAGCGCGUGUGAUCCUCACUAGCGUAUGUCCUUAUUGCUGCCAGUACAGUCUGGUUCACUCGUUCGGCCGCGUUCGCCUGCGGUGCAUAGUUCCCCGACUUCAGGCACGCCAAACUGCGCGAAGACCUCGGCGUACAAGAAUCGGAUCACGGCCGAAGACGUCGCCUUAGGCAAAGCCUUCAACCAGACAUAUC